UCCCGCCUGGCACAAUUGGCUAGCGCGUGAGACUUUUAAAAAGCAGAAUCUCAAGGUUGAGAGUUCGAACCUCUCGGUGGGAG
Non-coding RNA from Oleoguttula sp. CCFEE 5521, 83 nucleotides. Lineage: Eukaryota; Fungi; Ascomycota; Dothideomycetes; Mycosphaerellales; Teratosphaeriaceae. The record is from the annotation of a GenBank genome assembly.